This 253-nucleotide ribosomal RNA is filed under the name uncultured bacterium. RNAcentral's name for it is "partial 16S ribosomal RNA". It matches the Rfam family "Bacterial small subunit ribosomal RNA", at positions 524 to 776 of the family's 1533-position model. The record is from RNAcentral.
UACGUAGGGUGCAAGCGUUGUCCGGAAUUAUUGGGCGUAAAGAGCUCGUAGGCGGUCUGUCGCGUCGGCUGUGAAAUCCCGGAGCUCAACUCCGGGUCUGCAGUCGAUACGGGCAAACUGGAGUACUGCAGGGGAGACUGGAAUUCCUGGUGUAGCGGUGAAAUGCGCAGAUAUCAGGAGGAGCACCGGUGGCGAAGGCGGGUCUCUGGGCAGUAACUGACGCUGAGGAGCGAAAGCGUGGGGAGCGAACAGG